This is a non-coding RNA of Kogia breviceps (pygmy sperm whale), 429 nucleotides long. The record is from RefSeq and is a predicted model, not a curated record. Lineage: Eukaryota; Metazoa; Chordata; Mammalia; Artiodactyla; Physeteridae.
GCGCAAGGUGGACCGGAUGUGAGGGCGCGGCUGCAGGGCCGGCUGGAAGGUGUGUCUCGGAGUAUUUCAAAACUGCACAUUCUAAAAGAGAAACAAGAGUGGCAGGGAUAAUUGGUCUCUGAAAGAUUACUAUAAACUGGACAAAAUACAAAAGCACAGAGAUUUUGGAGAGGAGUCAACACUCAAGAAAAAAAGGGACAUCAGGGUAAGUUAUUCAUUUUCAAAGCUUUCUGAAUUAAGAGAAGCCUCAGUCAGCACUGCAUGGAGUAACUAAAACAGAGAGAAUGUUUGCUGUCUUUCUGGUGUAAAGCACCACAGGAUAAAGUUGAAGGAAACCCCAGGUGCUAUAGAGGGGAGAGUGGCAUCUCAGGAAGGAGAGGUCACAGAGGGAGUACUCUUAAUUCUGUGUACAAACUCUGGCCAAAUCUC